GGAUGAACGCUGGCGGCGUGCUUAAUACAUGCAAGUCGAACGGACCGAGCCUAGUGGGAAGCUCAGUGAAGGCGGGGAAGGCAGAAAUGUUGGAACUGCUGGAAGUGAGUGGAAAGCUAAAAUCGGUUAGUGGCAGACGGGUGAGUAACACGUGGGUGACCUGCCCCAAAGUGGGGAAUAACUGUCCGAAAGGGCAGCUAAUACCGCAUGUGAUCCACCGUUAUGGCGGUGGAUGAAAGGCUCUAUGAGUCGCUUUGGGAGGGGCCCGCGGCCUAUCAGCUAGUUGGUGGGGUAAGAGCCUACCAAGGCGAUGACGGGUAGCUGGUCUGAGAGGAUGAUCAGCCACAUUGGCACUGAGACACGGGCCAAACUCCUACGGGAGGCAGCAGUAAGGAAUAUUGCACAAUGGGGGAAACCCUGAUGCAGCAACGCCGCGUGGGCGAUGAAGGCCUUCGGGUCGUAAAGCCCUUUUCUGGGGGAAGAGGAAGGACAGUACCUCAGGAAUAAGUCUCGGCUAACUACGUGCCAGCAGCCGCGGUAAAACGUAGGAGGCGAGCGUUAUCCGGAUUUACUGGGCGUAAAGCGCGUGCAGGCGGCUGCGCAAGUUGGGCGUGAAAUCUCCCGGCUCAACUGGGAGGGGUCGUUCAAAACUGCGUAGCUUGAGGGCAGGAGAGGGAAGUGGAAUUCCCGGUGUAGCGGUAAUAUGCGCAGAUAUCGGGAGGAACACCAGUGGCGAAGGCGGCUUCCUGGCCUGUACCUGACGCUCAGACGCGAAAGCUAGGGUAGCGAACGGGAUUAGAUACCCCGGUAGUCCUAGCUGUAAACGAUGGAUACUAGGUGUGGGCGGUAUUGACCCCGCCUGUGCCGAAGCCAACGCGUUAAGUAUCCCGCCUGGGGAGUACGACCGCAAGGUUAAAACUCAAAGGAAUUGACGGGGGCCCGCACAAGCAGCGGAGCGUGUGGUUUAAUUCGAUGCAACGCGAAGAACCUUACCAGGGCUUGACAUGCACGUGGUAGCGGAGCGAAAGCCGAGCGACCCUUCGGGGAGCGUGCACAGGUGCUGCAUGGCUGUCGUCAGCUCGUGCCGUGAGGUGUUGGGUUAAGUCCCGCAACGAGCGCAACCCUCGUCGCUAGUUAGAUCUUUCUAGCGAGACUGCCGGUACAACACCGGAGGAAGGUGGGGAUGAGGUCAAGUCCUCAUGGCCCUUACGGGCUGGGCUACACACGUGCUACAAUGGUGGUGACAGUGGGCAGCGAAGGAGCGAUCCGGAGCUAAUCUCCAAAAGCCAUCUCAGUUCGGAUUGCACUCUGCAACUCGGGUGCAUGAAGUUGGAAUCGCUAGUAAUCGCGGAUCAGCAUGCCGCGGUGAAUACGUUCCCGGGCCU
RNAcentral lists this ribosomal RNA (1385 nucleotides) under uncultured bacterium. RNAcentral describes it as "bacterial SSU rRNA". It matches the Rfam family "Bacterial small subunit ribosomal RNA", at positions 27 to 1381 of the family's 1533-position model. The record is from RNAcentral.